RNAcentral lists this ribosomal RNA (221 nucleotides) under Foraminifera environmental sample. RNAcentral's name for it is "partial Bacterial large subunit ribosomal RNA". It matches the Rfam family "Bacterial large subunit ribosomal RNA", at positions 14 to 235 of the family's 2925-position model. Lineage: Eukaryota; Foraminifera. The record is from RNAcentral.
AGCGCAUACGGUGGAUGCCUUGGCAGUCAGAGGCGAUGAAAGACGUGGUAGCCUGCGAAAAGCUUCGGGGAGUCGGCAAACAGACUGUGAUCCGGAGAUGUCUGAAUGGGGGAACCCAGCCAUCAUAAGAUGGUUACCUUACACUGAAUACAUAGGUGUAUGGAGCGAACCAGGGGAACUGAAACAUCUAAGUACCCUGAGGAAAAGAAAUCAACCGAGAU